This 954-nucleotide long non-coding RNA is filed under the name Callithrix jacchus (white-tufted-ear marmoset). Its description in RNAcentral is "lncRNA (ENSCJAG00000080563.1)". The record is from RNAcentral. Lineage: Eukaryota; Metazoa; Chordata; Mammalia; Primates; Cebidae.
ACUAUUUGAAGAUCAUUCUUUCCUCCAACCUCCAUCCAAAUUAAAUAACGUUUUUCUUUUCCUCUUUCUCCUUUAGGCUUUUUGUAUGCAUCAAAGCUGUGCACGGUGUCUCUGAUUUUAAAUAUUUCAUCCAAAAUGUAAUAUGACUAUGUUCAUUUAUUUUCUUUCUUAAAUGAGAGAAGUGUUUCCAUAAGACCUGCAAAACAAGACAUAAUUUGGGGACCCAAGGGCAGAUGAAGACUCAUUGCUCAUUCCUUUUUUCUCCACUUCCUGAAACAGACAGUUCUUCCUUUCUGACCCAAAACCUAUUCAUUGUGUCAUAACUAACUAAAAUGGCACCUUUCCUAAGAGUGCUUGUUCUUUGUGACUCCAGAACAUUCUAGCAGCCGUCACUGUGGAUAUCCCUCCCAACACAUCAGCGCUCCAAGCACAGCACAGUGGCAGCAUUUCAUGCCCCCCUGGAACCUGUGAGUCGGGUGUCACAUCAUCUUCACUUUUCAGAUGUGAAAGCUGGAGCUCAGAGCCACUUCACACAAGAAUACUUGCAGGAAUCUAACGCAAUGAUGGAGAUGGAUCAUAUGAGGAUAUGUAACACCAAAGACUUGAAAAAUAGCAAACUCAACUUUUAGAUAAGUGGAAGCAUACCUUGCUGACCAACAUGAUGCACCAUUUUGAACCAAAUGCCUCUUAUUCUGCAGCCAUCAGACACUGAUAUUAUGUGUUUAAAUGCUUGACCAGCCUUCAUCUGUACCAAAUGUUUGAUCUUGCUUUUAUAAAAGAUGAGACAACUUUGCUUUUUAGUUUUUUUUUCUUAAAGCUGGUUUUAUUCACGAGAUACCGUAAGACCAAAAAACCCCUCAGAGCUGUAACAUUUUGAUUUUCCUGGAGUUCAAAGUACUACUUUCUGCAUUAAAUAAUUUAAGGCAUCUUUUUUUGAGAGAAGGGAAUAAAAGC